AUACAUUUCUCGGUCUUUUGGCUAAGAUCAAGUGUAGUAUCUGUUCUUAUUAGUUUAAUAUCUGAUAUGUGGGUUACACGCCCACAAUGAUAUUAAAUUUAUUUUUUAUGAAGAAAGGUCCAUUAUAGUAGCUUGCUACUGGGGCCCUCACGUGUCGCUUGGGCAUUGCACUAUUGCCCGGGCUUGGUGCACCCCAA
Small nuclear RNA from Aegilops tauschii subsp. strangulata, 197 nucleotides. RefSeq annotates it as U2 spliceosomal RNA. Lineage: Eukaryota; Viridiplantae; Streptophyta; Magnoliopsida; Poales; Poaceae. The record is from RefSeq and is a predicted model, not a curated record.